Long non-coding RNA from Manis javanica (Malayan pangolin), 308 nucleotides. RefSeq lists it as uncharacterized. Lineage: Eukaryota; Metazoa; Chordata; Mammalia; Pholidota; Manidae. The record is from RefSeq and is a predicted model, not a curated record.
GCUCUAGUCACUGUAAAGCCACUGAAAUGAAGAGGCUCCUGGAGAACAGAGGCUCCUGGAGAACAGACACAUGAAAGAACGUGGGCUCAUCCCGUCCAUCUGAGGAUGUUCCAAGAAGAGGACUCUCAGGUGGAGAUGAUUUCACCUCUUGGGGAAAGAAAAUUCUGGAAGUUUACUACCUAUAAGUUGCUUACCUGAGCAGAAGCUGAAAAGAGCAGCCAGCACCACGAGGUGAGAAAGCCUGAGAUAUGGGCACCUGGGUGGCGGUGUUCUCCACUUCAAUGCGGGACCCAUGGCUGGUGCUGCUC